This 877-nucleotide ribosomal RNA is filed under the name Rhodoferax sp. RNAcentral describes it as "bacterial SSU rRNA". It matches the Rfam family "Bacterial small subunit ribosomal RNA", at positions 65 to 945 of the family's 1533-position model. The record is from RNAcentral. Lineage: Bacteria; Pseudomonadati; Pseudomonadota; Betaproteobacteria; Burkholderiales; Comamonadaceae.
GACGGCAGCACGGGAGCAAUCCUGGUGGCGAGUGGCGAACGGGUGAGUAAUAUAUCGGAACGUGCCCAGNUCGUGGGGGAUAACGCAGCGAAAGCUGUGCUAAUACCGCAUACGAUCUAUGGAUGAAAGCGGGGGAUCGCAAGACCUCGCGCGAUUGGAGCGGCCGAUAUCAGAUUAGCUAGUUGGUGGGGUAAAGGCCCACCAAGGCGACGAUCUGUAGCUGGUCUGAGAGGACGACCAGCCACACUGGAACUGAGACACGGUCCAGACUCCUACGGGAGGCAGCAGUGGGGAAUUUUGGACAAUGGGCGCAAGCCUGAUCCAGCAAUGCCGCGUGCAGGAUGAAGGCCUUCGGGUUGUAAACUGCUUUUGUACGGAACGAAACGGUGAGCUCUAAUAAAGUUUGCUAAUGACGGUACCGUAAGAAUAAGCACCGGCUAACUACGUGCCAGCAGCCGCGGUAAUACGUAGGGUGCGAGCGUUAAUCGGAAUUACUGGGCGUAAAGCGUGCGCAGGCGGUUAUAUAAGACAGAUGUGAAAUCCCCGGGCUCAACCUGGGACCUGCAUUUGUGACUGUAUAGCUAGAGUACGGUAGAGGGGGAUGGAAUUCCGCGUGUAGCAGUGAAAUGCGUAGAUAUGCGGAGGAACACCGAUGGCGAAGGCAAUCCCCUGGACCUGUACUGACGCUCAUGCACGAAAGCGUGGGGAGCAAACAGGAUUAGAUACCCUGGUAGUCCACGCCCUAAACGAUGUCAACUGGUUGUUGGGUCUNCNCUGACUCAGUANCGAACUANCGCGUGAAGUUGACCGCCUGGGGANUACGGCCNCANGUUNAACUCAAGNAUUGACGGGAACCCCNCAGCGGGGAUGAUGUGNU